This 434-nucleotide ribosomal RNA is filed under the name uncultured bacterium. RNAcentral's name for it is "bacterial SSU rRNA". It matches the Rfam family "Bacterial small subunit ribosomal RNA", at positions 958 to 1392 of the family's 1533-position model. The record is from RNAcentral.
AACGCGAAGAACCUUACCUGGGUUUGACAUAUACCGGACCGCCGUAGAGAUACGGUUUCCCUUGUGGUCGGUAUACAGGUGGUGCAUGGCUGUCGUCAGCUCGUGUCGUGAGAUGUUGGGUUAAGUCCCGCAACGAGCGCAACCCUUGUCCUGUGUUGCCAGCACGUAAUGGUGGGGACUCGCAGGAGACUGCCGGGGUCAACUCGGAGGAAGGUGGGGACGACGUCAAGUCAUCAUGCCCCUUAUGUCCAGGGCUUCACACAUGCUACAAUGGCCGGUACAGAGGGCUGCGAUACCGUGAGGUGGAGCGAAUCCCUUAAAGCCGGUCUCAGUUCGGAUCGGGGUCUGCAACUCGACCCCGUGAAGUCGGAGUCGCUAGUAAUCGCAGAUCAGCAACGCUGCGGUGAAUACGUUCCCGGGUCUUGUACACACCG